ACUCUAAAGGGACUGCCGGUGUUAAACCGGAGGAAGGUGGGGAUGACGUCAAGUCCUCAUGGCCCUUUAUGACCAGGGCUACACACGUACUACAAUGGCCGAUACAAAGGGCAGCGACACUGCGAGGUGAAGCCAAUCCCGUAAAAUCGGUCUCAGUCCGGAUUGGAGUCUGCAACUCGACUCCAUGAAGUUGGAAUCGCUAGUAAUCGUGGAUCAGCAUGCCACGGUGAAUACGUUCCCGGGCCUU
RNAcentral lists this ribosomal RNA (247 nucleotides) under uncultured Desulfobulbus sp. Its description in RNAcentral is "partial 16S ribosomal RNA". It matches the Rfam family "Bacterial small subunit ribosomal RNA", at positions 1137 to 1382 of the family's 1533-position model. Lineage: Bacteria; Pseudomonadati; Thermodesulfobacteriota; Desulfobulbia; Desulfobulbales; Desulfobulbaceae. The record is from RNAcentral.